This is a long non-coding RNA of Eriocheir sinensis (Chinese mitten crab), 377 nucleotides long. RefSeq lists it as uncharacterized. The transcript is spliced from 3 exons. NCBI's taxonomy places the organism in Eukaryota, Metazoa, Arthropoda, Malacostraca, Decapoda, Varunidae. The record is from RefSeq and is a predicted model, not a curated record.
UCUGUGGUGGAUAGUGGAGUGUUUCCCAUGUGGUAUUGGUGUGCUGGAUAUCCCUUCACUGGUAGCCUGGUAACAUAUAGUCCCAGGUCCUUCUCUGCCUCUGUGGUGGAUAGUGGAGUGUUUCCCAUGUGGUAUUGGUGUGCUGGAUAUCCCUUCACUGGUAGCCUGGUAACAUAUAGUCCCAGGUCUUUCUCUGCCUCUGUGGUGGAUAGUGGAGUGUUUCCCAUAUGGUAUUGGUGUGCUGGAUAUCCCUUCACUGGUAGCCUGGUAACAUACACUCCCAGGUCUUUCUCUGCCUCUGUGGUGGAUAGUGGAGUGUUUCCCAUAUGAUAUUGGUGUGCUGGAUAUCCCUUCACUGGUAGCCUGGUAAACUUAUA